UACGUAGGGUGAGAGCGUUGUCCGGAAUUAUUGGGCGUAAAGAGCUUGUAGGCGGUCUGUCGCGUCUGCUGUGAAAAUCCGGGGCUCAACCCCGGACUUGCAGUGGGUACGGGCAGACUAGAGUGUGGUAGGGGAGACUGGAAUUCCUGGUGUAGCGGUGGAAUGCGCAGAUAUCAGGAGGAACACCAAUGGCGAAGGCAGAUCUCUGGGCCGUAACUGACGCUGAGACGCGAAAGCGUGGGGAGCGAACAGG
Molecule: ribosomal RNA, 253 nt
Filed under: uncultured bacterium
Lineage: Bacteria
Description: partial 16S ribosomal RNA
Rfam family: Bacterial small subunit ribosomal RNA
Source: RNAcentral